This is a long non-coding RNA of Drosophila sulfurigaster albostrigata, 1556 nucleotides long. RefSeq lists it as uncharacterized. Lineage: Eukaryota; Metazoa; Arthropoda; Insecta; Diptera; Drosophilidae. The record is from RefSeq and is a predicted model, not a curated record. The transcript is spliced from 3 exons.
CCAUUUGAUAAUUGCGAAAUGAAAUUCAUGAGAGAGCGAUAUGAAAAACUGUUGACUGAUUGUCUGCCUUGAGGCUGGAGCAAUGAAAACAUUCAGAGUUGAGUUGAGUUCAUAUUCAAAUACCCAGAGCAUUGAAUUUUUAAAGGUAAACACUGAGAGAACUAGGCUGCUAACUGAAAACUAAAACUCAAACAACUGCAAUGUGAGAGAGCUAUAGCAAAACUCAAAGUGGAAUGCCAGCCACAACUCCAACUCCAACUCCAACUUCUCGAGUUACAGCUCCGUCUGGAGGCAGUUGGUAAUCCCCAAGUGCUGCUGAACACGAGUAUAACACACGUAAUACAUAUUUAAACAUUUGCUGAUAGCAAAUGACAAAGGUGGUGCCCAGGAGAAUGAGAGAGCGAGAUGAAGAGAGAGAGCGAGUGAGUGGCAAAACAAUGUGUGGCUAGAAGCAGGCAAUAAAGUGGAGUGGAGUUUGGUGAAACGUGGCAUUUAACAAGUACGUGAGCCAAGCCACUCACCUGAAGAGUGACGACUGUCGAGGAGGAGAUGGAGGAGAAGCUGUGCUGUUCCAUGUGCUGGUCCUUAACGAAGCAGAACUUUCGCUCUCAGGCAGAAAGCUGAAGCACUCAAGUCUUGCCUGGCGACGGCGGCCUGUUAAGUGCCACACACACAAGCUGAGUAUUAUAGCGCAGUGUAUUCGCAAGCUCCUCGCUUUGGCGUGAACAAAGUUGCUAGCGGAAACGGAAGCGACAACUACAACUACAACACGAGGUAGAAAGCUGACUGAGCUGAACUGCACUGGACAUAGUCAAAUGCCAAACGAUGUGUGUCUUUCUGUCUCGCUGUGUCUUUCUCUCUGCUAUAAGCCUUUUGUAUCCAUAGUGACUAAGAGAGAUGCAAGUGGAAGGCAGGAGGGGGAAGGCAGAAAAGUCACUAAACUGUAACUGGAAUUACUGAAAACUAUUCACACACAAAAAUAUUGUUCAUGCUGCACACAAAAAUUGAAAAUUUUCUACUUUUGCCUGAAAUCGGAGCAGAGCAGAGGAGAGCAGCAAAAACUUUGUCUGGUUACAACACGCUGAACAGGUAAACCAAGCUGCAACCGCCGUCAACCUCCCCUGCCAUCCCCUCGAAGUGAAAAGGGUACGGAUGCGGACUACUGGCUGAUGAAAAGUCAGGAAGUAAAGUUUUACGGUUCACAUAAAAGCUGAAAUGUUCAUACAAUCAGCAUGAAUUAUAACUCGGAUGCGGAUUAAUAGUUGGCCAGCUACAUAUAUAUAUAUGUAUGGGCUUGUAUGCAGGUGUAUUUGUAUGUGGUUGUGCAGGUGUGCGAGGAUUUUGAUUUUGAUUUGGCUUCGGCUACUAUUGCAGCUUAUUCGCUUUUAGUGCAAUUGUUGCCAGAUUUUGCUCAAAAUCUCGUGAAAUGUUUGAGAGCUUUUGUAUGCUGCAUUUUGUAUGCAACAUUUCGCAUAUAUGGAAAAUUAUAAUUAAAUUUUGCAAAUUGAUUGGAACUGUCAAUGCUGCCCAAUUGAUGCCAUGAAUUCAGUGAUUGC